GAUGAACGCUGGCGGCGUGCCUGAUACAUGCAAGUCGAGCGAACAGACGAGGAGCUUGCUCCUCUGACGUUAGCGGCGGACGGGUGAGUAACACGUGGAUAACCUACCUAUAAGACUGGGAUAACUUCGGGAAACCGGAGCUAAUACCGGAUAAUAUAUUGAACCGCAUGGUUCAAUAGUGAAAGACGGUUUUGCUGUCACUUAUAGAUGGAUCCGCGCCGCAUUAGCUAGUUGGUAAGGUAACGGCUUACCAAGGCAACGAUGCGUAGCCGACCUGAGAGGGUGAUCGGCCACACUGGAGCUGAGACACGGUCCAGACUCCUACGGGAGGCAGCAGUAGGGAAUCUUCCGCAAUGGGCGAAAGCCUGACGGAGCAACGCCGCGUGAGUGAUGAAGGUCUUCGGAUCGUAAAACUCUGUUAUUAGGGAAGAACAAAUGUGUAAGUAACUAUGCACGUCUUGACGGUACCUAAUCAGAAAGCCACGGCUAACUACGUG
RNAcentral lists this ribosomal RNA (497 nucleotides) under uncultured bacterium. RNAcentral describes it as "partial 16S ribosomal RNA". It matches the Rfam family "Bacterial small subunit ribosomal RNA", at positions 28 to 507 of the family's 1533-position model. The record is from RNAcentral.